UGGGGAAUAUUGGACAAUGGGCGAAAGCCUGAUCCAGCCAUGCCGCGUGUGUGAAGAAGGUCUUCGGAUUGUAAAGCACUUUAAGUUGGGAGGAAGGGUUGUAGAUUAAUACUCUGCAAUUUUGACGUUACCGACAGAAUAAGCACCGACUAACUCUGUGCCAGCAGCCGCGGUAAUACAGAGGGUGCAAGCGUUAAUCGGAAUUACUGGGCGUAAAGCGCGCGUAGGUGGUUUGUUAAGUUGGAUGUGAAAUCCCCGGGCUCAACCUGGGAACUGCAUUCAAAACUGACUGACUAGAGUAUGGUAGAGGGUGGUGGAAUUUCCUGUGUAGCGGUGAAAUGCGUAGAUAUAGGAAGGAACACCAGUGGCGAAGGCGACCACCUGGACUAAUACUGACACUGAGGUGCGAAAGCGUGGGGAGCAAACAGGAUUAGAUACCCCCGUAGUCCCUGAGCGGGCUGGCAAGGCGCAU
Molecule: ribosomal RNA, 472 nt
Filed under: uncultured bacterium
Lineage: Bacteria
Description: bacterial SSU rRNA
Rfam family: Bacterial small subunit ribosomal RNA
Source: RNAcentral